RNAcentral lists this ribosomal RNA (443 nucleotides) under uncultured bacterium. Its description in RNAcentral is "partial 16S ribosomal RNA". It matches the Rfam family "Bacterial small subunit ribosomal RNA", at positions 338 to 795 of the family's 1533-position model. The record is from RNAcentral.
CCUACGGGGGGCAGCAGUGGGGAAUAUUGGGCAAUGGGCGCAAGCCUGACCCAGCAACGCCGCGUGAAGGAAGAAGGCUUUCGGGUUGUAAACUUCUUUUCUCAGGGACGAAGCAAGUGACGGUACCUGAGGAAUAAGCCACGGCUAACUACGUGCCAGCAGCCGCGGUAAUACGGAGGUGGCAAGCGUUAUCCGGAUGUACUGGGUGUAAAGGGCGUGUAGGCGGGAAAGCAAGUCAGAUGUGAAAACCAUGGGCUCAACCUGUAGCCUGCAUUUGAAACUGUUUUUCUUGAGUACUGGAGAGGCAGACGGAAUUCCUAGUGUAGCGGUGAAAUGCGUAGAUAUUAGGAGGAACACCAGUGGCGAAGGCGGUCUGCUGGACAGCAACUGACGCUGAGGCGCGAAAGCGUGGGGAGCAAACAGGAUUAGAUACCCUUGUAGUC